Molecule: ribosomal RNA, 253 nt
Filed under: uncultured bacterium
Lineage: Bacteria
Description: partial 16S ribosomal RNA
Rfam family: Bacterial small subunit ribosomal RNA
Source: RNAcentral
UACGGGGGGGGCAAGCGUUGUUCGGAAUUACUGGGCGUAAAGGGCUUGUAGGUGGCCAACUAAGUCAGACGUGAAAUCCCUCGGCUUAACCGGGGAACUGCGUCUGAUACUGGAUGGCUUGAGUGUGGGAGAGGGAUGCGGAAUUCCAGGUGUAGCGGUGAAAUGCGUAGAUAUCUGGAGGAACACCGGUGGCGAAGGCGACAUCCUGGACCGGUAUUGACGCUGAGGCGCGAAAGCCAGGGGAGCAAACGGG